This 404-nucleotide ribosomal RNA is filed under the name actinobacterium SCGC AAA028-K05. Its description in RNAcentral is "bacterial SSU rRNA". It matches the Rfam family "Bacterial small subunit ribosomal RNA", at positions 360 to 776 of the family's 1533-position model. Lineage: Bacteria; Bacillati; Actinomycetota; Actinomycetes. The record is from RNAcentral.
AAUAUUGCGCAAUGGGCGAAAGCCUGACGCAGCAACGCCGCGUGAGGGAUGAAGGCCUUCGGGUUGUAAACCUCUUUUAUCAGGGAAGAAGCGAAAGUGACGGUACCUGAAGAAAAAGCACCGGCUAACUACGUGCCAGCAGCCGCGGUAAUACGUAGGGUGCAAGCGUUAUCCGGAAUUAUUGGGCGUAAAGAGCUCGUAGGCGGUUUGUCGCGUCUGCUGUGAAAAUCUGAGGCUCAACCUCGGACUUGCAGUGGGUACGGGCAGACUAGAGUGCGGUAGGGGAGAAGGGAAUUCCUGGUGUAGCGGUGGAAUGCGCAGAUAUCAGGAGGAACACCAAUGGCGAAGGCACUUCUCUGGGCCGCUACUGACGCUGAGGAGCGAAAGCGUGGGGAGCGAACAGG